This 2212-nucleotide long non-coding RNA is filed under the name Calidris pugnax (ruff). Its description in RNAcentral is "lncRNA (ENSCPUG00000011288.1)". The record is from RNAcentral. Lineage: Eukaryota; Metazoa; Chordata; Aves; Charadriiformes; Scolopacidae.
ACUGCAGUGACAAAUGUUUUUUUUUUUUACUUUUCCUCUUUGAGACAUCUUCCUCUAAAACUCUGAGCAGCUGCAGUCUCCUUGCCCAAACAACUUAAUUGUAAACUCUCUGGUGAGCCAGACUCUCCUCUUUAGGCCAUGACAACGAGGAAACAGCUUUGUCAGAGCAUCAUCCAUCAAGGGUGAGCACAGUGUUGGUGGCAGCUUGGAAAUGGAACGGGCUUCACUAGGGCAGCCGUAUGAGCAUCACUGCACUUCCCACUGCCCUGACACUGAUUUAUCAGGGGUUUCUCUGGCACUUGGGCCAUAACACACAAGGAGCUGGAAAUUGGAAGAAAACAUCAUGGAUUAUAUUUGCCACUCGGAACUCUCCUUCCUCUGAUGACUGCCUUCUGCCUCCCAGCAUACGUUAACUUUUGUUACCAAAUCCACAUCAAAGCAUUGUAUGUUGUUACCACUCACAAAUAUUCCCUAUCAUUAUUAAACAAAUGAGGUGCAACUGCCAGAUGAAGUUAGUGAGAGUGCCUAGCUGGAGGGAAGGGGGAAAAAAUUGGGAGAAAUUUCUCCUUUUUUGUUUUUUUUGGGUCUUGUUUACUGUUCUAGGGACACUGGAUAAUUAGGACAUGGAUUUUCUUGACAUAUCAUCUCAGACUGCGCUGUCAGAAAGCGCUCGUCUCCCUCGGGGUCUGGAGCAGGAGUGGAAACACAGAGGCAUACACCAGGUCUGCCAGGAGGAGGGCUGGCCCUGCAGCUCCUGCCCAGGAUACUGCAGCCCACAGGGAAUCACCAGGCUCCUGCAGCACAGCAGCCCUGCACCCUGUGAAACCAGCCUUUGUGCUUAAAGGUUCCCUGGCAACCAAGAGUUCCUGCUGAAGAAGCAGAGCUGGGAGCAUGAAAAGUGAGUGUAGCCGGAUGGAGACACCCUCCGGUUCUUCUGGGCUUUUCUGGAAACAGCCUGGAGAGGGUACAGCAGAGGGUACCAAGAUGAUGAGGGGCCUGGAGCAUCUCCCUUACAAGGAGCACAAAAAGCAUCGCUCAUUGCCGAGCAGAACCUUCCUUCACCCUCAGCCCUGCUCUUCCUCCACAGUGGGGUGGUCUCUCCUCUCUUUUCCAGCUCCGUUCAGGACAGGUGAAGACCAUCACACAGUGCAAGCUCCCUCUCUGCCAGCUCAGAGCACACAGGAGGAGCAAAAAUCCCCCCCAGGUUUGUAGGAUUUAAGUCUUCAGAGUGCACAUGCUCAGGCUUUAUUCUAAGCUUUUCAGGGAAGCAAAGAAGACAUGAGAUACCCCCUGUAAUCAUCUGCCUCUGGGAGCUGAUACCAGGUAUCAGAAGAGGUGGUGAAAUCACGGUGUUCAGAGCUGCCUUAUCCAGCUGUGGUGAGUAAUGUGUUUGCUGUAGUGACAAGCAAGUGUCACUGGAGCUGUGUGUGAAUAUUCUGCAUAAUUCCCAGUGCACAUCUUCAGAAAAAGAAGCCAGAAGUCCAAAGCAGAAAUGUGGAGAAGAGGGGUCCAGGUGGCCUCUUUGGGCACCUCCAGGGCUCAGGGGGACUCGGGGUGAAUGGAGCAGAGAGGGAGCUGCGCUGUGCUUUUGGGCUGAGGAGCCAAAAGUUGUCCGAGUGGUUCCUCAGAACAACAAAGUUGCACAGAGCUCAUGUCUAUGACACCUCUACAGACGCCUCAUUAUGUAAAAUUACAUCCUUUUGAAUCUAUGCUAAAAUAAUCUCAUUUUAUAACACAGUGUUGCUGGCUAGCCAGCUCCAGCUUGCAGUGUCUAUGAUGGUGUUUCUUGUCUGGUUUCUGCACGGUUGGGAUGAAGAUGAGCCUGAGCAUCGGGCUUGGGAUGUCUGAAAAUCUGAUUCAGUUCCGGGUCUGCCCUCAGCAGUUCCUCCAUGGAUUAGGUGAGACAUUUUGCUUUUCAGUGUUUUUAACCUGGUCCUGAGGAUACUGGACUUUGCCUUUAUGUGAGCCGUGAGCCUGCCCUUGUCCACCACUAUUGCUGCGGGAGCUGCCAGUCCUGGGAGUGGCAUAAAACAUAUAUAGCUUUUUAUGGAAGAAAUCAGAAGUGGCUCUUUCAUAUUUGUAGGUGUCACACACCAACUGGCUUAUAAAUGUAACUUUAAUGCCUAAAAAGUUGAUAAUCACCUUUAUACUUGCAUACUAGCAUCGUUUUAAAGUGAAUUACCGACAUCAUAUAUUGCCUUAUUCCCCCACA